Molecule: ribosomal RNA, 758 nt
Filed under: uncultured bacterium
Lineage: Bacteria
Description: bacterial SSU rRNA
Rfam family: Bacterial small subunit ribosomal RNA
Source: RNAcentral
ACGCUGGCGGCGUGCCUAAUACAUGCAAGUCGAACGCCCAGCGAAAGGUGCUUGCACCUUUCAAGUGAGUGGCGAACGGGUGAGUAACACGUGGACAACCUGCCUCAAGGCUGGGGAUAACAUUUGGAAACAGAUGCUAAUACCGAAUAAAACUUAGUGUCGCAUGACACAAAGUUAAAAGGCGCUUCGGCGUCACCUAGAGAUGGAUCCGCGGUGCAUUAGUUAGUUGGUGGGGUAAAGGCCUACCAAGACAAUGAUGCAUAGCCGAGUUGAGAGACUGAUCGGCCACAUUGGGACUGAGACACGGCCCAAACUCCCACGGGAGGCUGCAGUAGGGAAUCUUCCACAAUGGGCGAGAGCCUGAUGGAGCAACGCCGCGUGUGUGAUGAAGGCUUUCGGGUCGUAAAGCACUGUUGUAUGGGAAGAACAGCUAGAAUAGGAAAUGAUUUUAGUUUGACGGUACCAUACCAGAAAGGGACGGCUAAAUACGUGCCAGCAGCCGCGGUAAUACGUAUGUCCCGAGCGUUAUCCGGAUUUAUUGGGCGUAAAGCGAGCGCAGACGGUUUAUUAAGUCUGAUGUGAAAGCCCGGAGCUCAACUCCGGAAUGGCAUUGGAAACUGGUUAACUUGAGUGCAGUAGAGGUAAGUGGAACUCCAUGUGUAGCGGUGGAAUGCGUAGAUAUAUGGAAGAACACCAGUGGCGAAGGCGGCUUACUGGACUGCAACUGACGUUGAGGCUCGAAAGUGUGGGUAGCAAAC